AGGAGGAACAACCGCAGUGGCUGCUUUGAAAACCUGGAUUCAGCCCCCGCAGGAACUCCGGAGCUCUCCGUCUGUAGGGCCUGGAGGCUCCGGGCGUGG
Molecule: microRNA precursor, 99 nt
Filed under: Canis lupus familiaris (dog)
Lineage: Eukaryota; Metazoa; Chordata; Mammalia; Carnivora; Canidae
Also listed under: 1 other name
Description: mir-8834 microRNA precursor family
Rfam family: mir-8834 microRNA precursor family
Source: Rfam by way of RNAcentral